This 300-nucleotide ribosomal RNA is filed under the name uncultured Thermoflexus sp. RNAcentral describes it as "bacterial SSU rRNA". It matches the Rfam family "Bacterial small subunit ribosomal RNA", at positions 496 to 795 of the family's 1533-position model. The record is from RNAcentral. Lineage: Bacteria; Bacillati; Chloroflexota; Thermoflexia; Thermoflexales; Thermoflexaceae.
GGCAACUCCGGGCCAGGUGGCGCGGGAAUAGGGGGGGUGCGCGCGUUAGUCGGAGUUACUGGGCGUAAAGUGUGGGCAGGCGGCCGCGCAAGUCGAGUGUGAAAGCCCCGGGCUUAACUUGGGAAUUGCGCUCGAAACUACGUGGCUGGAGUGUGGCAGAGGAAGGUGGAAUUCCACGUGUAGCGGUGAAAUGCGUAGAGAUGUGGAGGAACACCAAUGGCGAAGGCAGCCUUCUGGGCCAACACUGACGCUCAUGCACGAAAGCGUGGGGAGCAAACAGGAUUAGAUACCCUGGUAGUC